This 382-nucleotide ribosomal RNA is filed under the name Escherichia coli. RNAcentral's name for it is "partial 23S ribosomal RNA". It matches the Rfam family "Bacterial large subunit ribosomal RNA", at positions 1360 to 1744 of the family's 2925-position model. The record is from RNAcentral. Lineage: Bacteria; Pseudomonadati; Pseudomonadota; Gammaproteobacteria; Enterobacterales; Enterobacteriaceae.
CAACGUUAAUCGGGGCAGGGUGAGUCGACCCCUAAGGCGAGGCCGAAAGGCGUAGUCGAUGGGAAACAGGUUAAUAUUCCUGUACUUGGUGUUACUGCGAAGGGGGGACGGAGAAGGCUAUGUUGGCCGGGCGACGGUUGUCCCGGUUUAAGCGUGUAGGCUGGUUUUCCAGGCAAAUCCGGAAAAUCAAGGCUGAGGCGUGAUGACGAGGCACUACGGUGCUGAAGCAACAAAUGCCCUGCUUCCAGGAAAAGCCUCUAAGCAUCAGGUAACAUCAAAUCGUACCCCAAACCGACACAGGUGGUCAGGUAGAGAAUACCAAGGCGCUUGAGAGAACUCGGGUGAAGGAACUAGGCAAAAUGGUGCCGUAACUUCGGGAGAA